This 440-nucleotide ribosomal RNA is filed under the name uncultured bacterium. RNAcentral describes it as "partial 16S ribosomal RNA". It matches the Rfam family "Bacterial small subunit ribosomal RNA", at positions 338 to 795 of the family's 1533-position model. The record is from RNAcentral.
CCUACGGGUGGCAGCAGUGGGGAAUAUUGGACAAUGGGGGAAACCCUGAUCCAGCGACGCCGCGUGAGUGAAGAAGUAUUUCGGUACGUAAAGCUCUAUCAGCAGGGAAGAAAAUGACGGUACCUGACUAAGAAGCCCCGGCUAACUACGGGCCAGCAGCCGCGGUAAUACGUAGGGUGCAAGCGGUAUGCGGAUUUACUGGGGGUAAAGGGUGCGUAAACGGGAGCGGAAGUCUGGUGUGAAAUGCCGGGGCCCAACCCCGGAACUGCACUGGAAACUGUGAAGCUGGAGUGCCUGAGAGGUAAGCGGAAUUCCUGGUGUAGCGGUGAAAUGCGUAGAGAUCAGGAGGAACACCGACGGCGAAGGCGGCUUACUGGACUGUAACUGACGUUGAGGCUCGAAGGCGUGGGGAGCAAACAGGAUUAGAUACCCCGGUAGUC